GCCACUGUAGCUCAACGGCAGAGCAGCGGUUUUGUAAACCGCAGGUUGGGAGUUCGAAUCUCCCCGGUGGCU
This 72-nucleotide transfer RNA is filed under the name Planctomycetota bacterium. RNAcentral describes it as "tRNA-Thr". It matches the Rfam family "tRNA". From Rfam's summary of the family: Transfer RNA (tRNA) molecules are approximately 80 nucleotides in length. The record is from RNAcentral. Lineage: Bacteria; Pseudomonadati; Planctomycetota. RNAcentral also lists the same sequence under 1 other name.